CGCAACACCAACAAUGCGACAGUGGUGGUCUCGCUCGCACUGAUAAAUGUAAACUGAUACCGACCGUGCGACGUCCGGCCAUGGCAAGGCGCAGGUUUGCCUUUUCGCUGCGAACGCAACAAAUUUUCACCCACAAAUUGUCACCGUGCACCGUACGUAGUAGUAGUGUGUGAAAUAGUGAAGCAGAAAGGAUAAACACACCCACACUUAAGGUAGGGUAAAGUCCUUGUUUUCCGUAGUACAAAGAAAGGAUAAGGAUAACAGGGAAGGCUAAAAACACCGACACGAUGGAAGGCAUACUGGUGUUUGACCAGACGAACGAUUUAAUCUACCACAACUUCAACGAAGCGAUGCGGGAAAAAAUGUCCAAGCAGGCGUACGAUUUGGGCCUGCUGGAUGAGGAAUCGGUGUGUCCAACGCAGGAGCUGAACUCGAAUGUGCUGAUACAAAUCUUCAGCCCGCUGCUGGCCUCGCAGCGGAUCAUGAUGUGCCAGUUCGACAACGCGUACACCGCGAUCCAGAUGGAGAACAACCUGAACGUCGUGUUUGACGAGUUUUUAGGGUAUAUUUUCCUUGAGAUCAGCACCAAAGAAGUCGAUCUGGUGAAGCGCGAGCUGGGAGCGUUCAUUGCCUUCAUUAAGUACAUCUGUGGACCAAACAUUUUCACAAUUAAAAACGAUACAACAAAGGCGGAACACCUAACCGAGCUUAUCCUCACCUACCGGGAGCUGUACGCCAUCAACCAGGGCGUGCUGAUGGAAGCGAUCGAGCAGCUGCUGGUGAACGUGGACGUGAAGAGUACGGUGGUGAACGCACUGCAGGCAGCCACCGACCGGUUAAAGCAGGACCCACACUCCCAGCGCUCCCAUUCGCUGCUCUUCGUCGGCAGCAAGUUUCUCGCCCGGUACAGCACGCGCCAGGCGCAGGAGUUGGCCGCCGUCGACAUGUUCUUCCUUAGCCUGCUCUGCCAGAUGUACAAUCGGCGCAGUGCCGCCCAUCGGCAGCGCAUUGAGUCGCGCAUCGUGUUCCUGCAGGGCAGCGUGCACCAGUCGUACGCCGGCUGCGUACCGCACAUCGUGCACGUGGUGCAGCUGUUCGAGCACGUGUCGCUGGUGCUGGUGAUCGAGCAUGCUCACACCGCACUGGCCAGCCACCUGUACGAUGUGUACUUUGCGCUGCACAAGCUGCAGAACCUGCAGAGCCAGUUCGAUCUGGACAAUUUGCGCGGUGCGUUCGAGGCGCUCGAAGCGUACGCGAAGCACACGCAGGAUGCGCUGCGCAAGGUGAAGGCGCACAAUGCCGAGGUGGACGAGUGCAUUCGCACGUUCGGCGUGCGGUGGGACACGUUGCGCAAGAAGUACGCGGAUUACUUUAAAGCAUCGGACAACGCGCUGAUCGUGAAGAUUGAGUCGAACAUGCCGAUGUUUGUGGAGUCGGUGAAGGAGCUGUUCCGGUUGCUGUGCGCCAGCUGUGCCACGCUCGAGCAUGGGUUGCAGCGCGUGAGCGACAUUGCGGACGUGGCGGAGGCGAGCCUGAAGGAGGUGUUCGUGUUCCUGCACGCCAAGUCGCAGAAAAACUUUACCAUGGGAUCAUAUAUGGAGGAGUUCCCGGGCAUGGUACACUUCAUGCAUAUAGAUCGGUACAAUGGCCGAAUCGUUGCCCCAUCACUCGACGAUCACGACCCGUCGGACAUUCUGAAGGACAGGAUAUGGUCGAUGGUCGACUUUUCGCGCACCUAUCUGGACAAGGGUUACAUGUCAAUGAUCUGGAAAGAUGUGACGUUCAGCUACGCGUACUUCCUCUGGUUCGAGGACGAGCACGGUGCGACCUUGAAGCCGAACGAACCGGCGAGCCAUGGGGCGGUACUGCCGGCCACGAAACCGUCGCUGACUGCCGGCAUCUUGGCCGGUGAUUACUAUCAGCGCCUUAUCGAAAGCUGCUUCCCAAGGACACCGUCGAGCAAGGUCCGCUGUUACGAGCUGUUUCUCGUGCACCUAGGGCUCGUCACUUCAACGAUCGUGUUGGAGCACUGUCGCCGGCUAGCCGUUACCAUUACCGAUCUGACGGGAUGCAUUGGGAAUCCGAUCGAUCUACUUUAAGGGCAUGAACAAGCGUAGCUUUACACAGCGUUGUAUGUUACAUCCGAUUAGUUUGAAGUUGUCUUAGUUUAUGCGUACAUUCCAGCAGAUUAGCAUAACGCUACGUCACAUGGACAACAUUCCAACCUUCAUUCGCCGGCUGCAUCGGUCUGCAUCCAGCAACUGCACAGUGCAAUGUUUAUUUAUUAGAAAAGUGCCGCCGAGUGCGGCCAUGCAUACCAGAUGGCUGCUACUACUACCAUUACUGCUACCACUACCACUACUACUAUCGCUAACUAAACUUUAUCACCACCUUGAGACGACCACCAGAAGCACAUUUACAUACAUAUUUAUCAAAAUUGAUCGUAUCUUUAGUACACCCAGACACGGCCAGGGCACGGUCGGCUCACACUUUCUGUGCCAAUUCUUCUUUAGAUGGCGUCGUGCGAUCAUCAAGGCAUCACCAUCAUCAUCAUCUUUAUGCAGUGUAUCAAUGACUCCACCGAAAUCAACGUACUAGGUACAAUCUUCGUUUGCAUCGUAUCUUUCCACCAUCCCACCCCGUUCUUAUCCCUCAAAAAGGUUCCUUAGGACGUAGAGGUUUGAUUGAAAGAUUUGCGUUCGAAAGCAAUAUACACACACAGUGUGUCCCCGGAUGUAGAGGGAUAUCAAAGAUU
Molecule: RNA transcript, 2755 nt
Organism: Anopheles arabiensis
Lineage: Eukaryota; Metazoa; Arthropoda; Insecta; Diptera; Culicidae
Gene: HPS1
Gene name: Hermansky-Pudlak syndrome 1 protein homolog
Exons: 8
Source: RefSeq, a predicted model, not a curated record